GAUGAACGCUGGCGGCGUGCCUAAUACAUGCAAGUCGAGCGAACGGACGAGAAGCUUGUUUCUCUGAUGUUAGCGGCGGACGGGUGAGUAAUACGUGGAUAACCUACCUAUAAGACUGGGAUAACUUCGGGAAACCGUAGCUAAUACCGGAUAAUAUUUUGAACCGCAUGGUUCAAAAGUGAAAGACGGUCUUGCUGUCACUUAUAGAUGGAUCCGCGCUGCAUUAGCUAGUUGGUAAGGUAACGGCUUACCAAGGCAACGAUGCAUAGCCGACCUGAGAGGGUGAUCGGCCACACUGGAACUGAGACACGGUCCAGACUCCUACGGUAGGCAGCAGUAGGGAAUCUUCCGCAAUGGGCGAAAGCCUGACGGAGCACCGCCGCGUGAGUGAUGAUGGUCUUCGGAUCGUAAAACUCUGUUAUUAGGGAAGAACAUAUGUGUAAGUAACUGUGCACAUCUUGACGGUACCUAAUCAGAAAGCCACGGCUAACUACGUG
This 497-nucleotide ribosomal RNA is filed under the name uncultured bacterium. RNAcentral describes it as "partial 16S ribosomal RNA". It matches the Rfam family "Bacterial small subunit ribosomal RNA", at positions 28 to 507 of the family's 1533-position model. The record is from RNAcentral.